UAGUUAUUAGGGUCCAUCAUGACCUAACGUACGGGACAUCUCGGUACUGAUUAGGAUCAUCAGCCAUACUGGAACUGCACCACACUGUCCAUUACUCCUACGGGCAGUGCAGGCGUCGGGGCAAUUAUGCGCAAUGGGCGGAAAGCCUGACGCAGCAAUGCCGCGUGAGUGAUGAAGGCCUUCGGGUCGUAAAGCUCUGUCAGAGGGAAAGAAACUCCCGUCGGUUAAUACCCGGCGGGCCUGACGGUACCCUCAAAGGAAGCACCGGCUAACUCCGUGCCAGCAGCCGCGGUAAUACGGAGGGUGCAAGCGUUGUUCGGAAUUAUUGGGCGUAAAGCGCGUGUAGGCGGUUCGUUAAGUCUGAUGUGAAAGCCCUGGGCUUAACCUGGGAAGUGCAUUGGAAACUGGCGAACUUGAGUAUGGGAGAGGAAAGUGGAAUUCCGAGUGUAGGGGUGAAAUCCGUAGAUAUUCGGAGGAACACCAGUGGCGAAGGCGGCUUUCUGGACCAAUACUGACGCUGAGACGCGAAAGCGUGGGGAGCAAACAGGAUUAGAUACCCUGGUAGUCCACGCCGUAAACGAUGGGCACUAGUGUCGCGGGUAUUGACCCUGCGGUGCCGUACUAACGCAUUAAGUGCCCCGCUGGGGAGUCCGGCGCAAGCUAAAUCAAGGAAUGACGGGGCCGCCAACGGUGGAGAUUGGUUAUUCACCAGCAAAACUACUGGUUGAAUCGAUCUAUCAUG
RNAcentral lists this ribosomal RNA (742 nucleotides) under uncultured prokaryote. RNAcentral describes it as "bacterial SSU rRNA". It matches the Rfam family "Bacterial small subunit ribosomal RNA", at positions 246 to 1232 of the family's 1533-position model. The record is from RNAcentral.